CCCAGGGCGGGGUGGGGUCGAGGGUGUUGCGAGCUGCAGGAAGUCGCGGACCGGGAAAACUGGGAAGCGCGAGAUCUGCAGAGACCGGAGGCAAAUAUAAUAUUGGCGCGCUCGCGGGUUCUGUGCAGACCAGGAAGUGGGACGCUUCACCCCCAGCUACCCUCUGGGAUCAGGGCCCUGACAAAUGCCAUCUCCUUGAACUCUAGGAAACCUGGCGCUGAAAGUGGAUAGCCUGAUGGCAAGGGUCUUCCGAGGCAGCCACUCUCUGCAGGCUCCGGCCACUAAGUGACUGCUGUCCUUGGCCCAUUAGGAACCCAAGAGGACAGGCGAGGGCUCCCUUCCUCCCCGAUCCUCGACGCCGCGUACCAGCUUCCCGAGUGCGCGCUGGAACGCAGGCAGGCCCUGCGCUCCUCUCUCCCCUCUGCGCCCUGGUGGUGGUGGGCUUCCGGCCACACUUCUCGCAGGGCAGGCACCCUGAAAGGGCACCCCGCAAGCUUGCCCAGGCCCGCUCUUCUCCGAAGUCCUAUAGUUCCACUGGGCAGCAGAAGGAGGCGGACAGCCUACUCCUGCCCCUCGGCCGGACGACCCGCGGCUGCCGCGCCCAGCACCUCUGCACCUGCCUGGCUGAGAGCUGCUUACAAAAUAUUCAGCAGGAACCUGUGUGGUGAAAUCUGGGCAGAACCGUCAAGUCUAAAAGCACCUGGGACAGGCAUGAGACUAUCAGAAUCACAAUCGUUUCGGGCCUUUUCGGGGCAGAUUAACGUUUUGUCAGAGACCCCCAAAUUC
This 786-nucleotide long non-coding RNA is filed under the name Heterocephalus glaber (naked mole-rat). RNAcentral describes it as "lncRNA (ENSHGLG00000047524.1)". The record is from RNAcentral. Lineage: Eukaryota; Metazoa; Chordata; Mammalia; Rodentia; Bathyergidae.